UUCAAGUGCAACCAUAAGUUUUCGUACCCAAUUUUAAUCGUCCGUCUUAUUUAAUUUUUUUAUAAUUAGUAUUUUUGUUGUUAUGAGAUAAUAAAACAUUAAUAGUACUUUAUUCGUGACUUAUGUUUUUAUUUUUAAAUAAUUUUUUUUAAAUGAGACGAACGAUUAAAGUUGGGUGUGGAAAACUAUAGCUACACUUGAA
This is a non-coding RNA of Oryza barthii, 202 nucleotides long. Lineage: Eukaryota; Viridiplantae; Streptophyta; Magnoliopsida; Poales; Poaceae. The record is from Rfam.